AGCAGCAGGUAAUAUUGUUGUUAGGUAUUUUUGAUUGUUCAUUAUUGUUGUGAAAUCUUUCCUUUGUGAAAUGGUGUUAGGAAAACCCUGACCUAUAGUUACUUGUUUACGUCUGUAUGUUCUCAGAAACUGUUUUCUGCUUUAGGCAUUUUGAUCCAUUAGGACAAGUCUAAACCAGCCAAACCAGGGAGUUUUCUGCCAGACCAAGAAACUUGUAGUUCUAGUAUCUGAAGAAUUCCUUUGUCCUGUGCCUUCUAAGACCAAAGUGUUUUCCAUUACUUAAAAGCAAACUGGUCAGGUAGGAAAAUUAGCUCAACUCUAGAAACUUCUCUUGUGAUUGUGGAAUUUGUGGGUGUGAACAUGUUGUGAAAUAAAUCCCUCCAUGAGCUCCGGCUCCUUUGUGAGAGGAAAAUGGCUUCCGUGUUGUAUGGUCUGGUUCUCUCACCCUCUGCAGAGUGUCACACACUUUGCAGAGUUUGUUGUCUGUUUAAGGUUUGAUACAAUUUACCAAUUUAAGAAUCUAAUCCCUCUGUGUGGGGGUUCUGACUUCCUUUAAGGUAAUUUAAGUUUAAGGUAAUAAAAGAACAAUAGUAUAAAUUAAAAUACGCAACAUAAUAGUGAAUAAUGCUAAAUUAAAUUACCGAACAUAGAUUAAAUUACCUAUCAUAGUGGUGGAGGAUGCGGGCACAGCAGAGCCUUUCGGUGGGAGAUUGCUCCUGUUAGAAGUAGAUUUUCCAGGGUGUUUGAGGAUUUGUGAUUAACACUCACCAUGUCACCAACCAGCUGUUUAGCUCCGCAGGCAAUCUUCCACCUACGGCUCUCGCUUACCGGACUCAGGACGCCACGCAGAGGGAGAGGCAUGUUGUGAUCUGUGGGGGAUACCGGAGUACCCGGAGAAAACCCACGCAUGCAUGGGAAGAACAUGCAACUCCACGCAGAAAGGCCACAGCCGAGUUUCGAACCUGCGACCUUCGUGUUGCGAGGCAACAGUGCUAACCACUGCGCCACCAUGCAGUGGUUAUAUGUAACUCUCAUAUAAGCUCUUUUAUUAUUCAUUGUUAUAUGCUACUUUUUUCAUUAUGGAAUCAUGUUAUAAUAUCAAAGGCCUCUCUGUGCUUCUCUCCUGCACAAGCUCUAAACAGCUGCAGGAACUCCAAAAGGGAGUGAGACAUUGCAGUCUCUCUUUGUACCGGUUACCACGGAUGCUUCUGCUUAUCUUAGAAUUACAUGUUCUUGUGAUAUGUGAGUUCCUGCCUAACAAGGCAAUAUAUGCAUCUACCUUAUAAAGCUCUUUUAUUAUGUAUCCACCUGGUAAACUCUUUUGUAUUAUUCAAUGCUAUUAUAUAUUAUCAUAUGCUAUGGAAAGAAUCCUGCUCAAAUACUCAAGGCCUCUCAGUGUUCUUCUGCACAAAGAUUAAUAGCUGUAUAUCUUCUCCUGUACCAAAGAAAGGAGUGAGCACACUCCAGCUCUUCUCAAGUUCCUCUCGGUACCGGUGAAUAUGUAUCUUUUCCUGUCAAGGACGUACCAGGAUGUUCCUAGUUAUCUCACGGAUGCAUGUUCUCGUGAUGUAUUAACUGUCCACUAACAAGGCUGUUAUUUUCACCUGUCAUGACCAAUGACGUAUGUACAUGGCAAACUGCAUAUGUUACAUUCCUGUAAUCCUCAAUAAAAAUCAGCCGUUUCAGCAGAACGGAGAGAGUGUCUGAAGCAACAGACAGGAGCAGAACGCGGGCUCUGCUGCAGUUGCAUGCUCUCCCCUCUCGAGCGGUGAAACAGUGACUGGACUUCUGAUCAUUUGACUCCACAUUCUACCAACUAAAGGUGUUUAUCUCCAUCUCCUCCGUACCUGUGCUUGGUCUAACAGAAGAAAGACCAACACUGGGAGGCCUAAUCUAUGUCCACAGAUGCUUUCUGCUACUGGAUUUAAUUUAAGAAUGUGGUUUUGCUUCGGGAUGGUCUCUGUUUUCAAUUGGUAAGGUUCCUUCAUGGAAUGCAAACCUUAGCUCAGCAACCUGUUUUGUUUCAUUGGUCAGACUAAGUAAAUAUGGUGUAAUUGUAACAUUUGUCAUUUUCUUUGGGGAAGUGAGCUAUUUUUAUUAGACAUAUUGUUAAAAUUCUCCAGUAGGAUCUUCGGAGAUAUAUUCUUUGGGUUGGGGCCCAAUCUCCAAAAUAGGCUGAUGUUUUCUCACCAUAUCCUGUUUUAUUUUAUUGGGUUAUUUUUUGUGGUGAUAGAAGUCUGCACAGUGCAGUGCAUGAGACAUAUGAAAGCUUGGUUUAAAGUACUCUGACUCCAUCCUAUGUUCUUUUAUUUGCAGUUAAUUGUGUAUUGGGUUUAUCUUUACUUUUUACUUUCUGGGAGUGCGAAUUUACCAAACCUACAUAUCCAGAUUUCAGGGGGUGACAACCUAAAACCCGGGUAUUAUAAGGUUUGUAGUGCCUGUUUGCAUACAAAACUACAGUUUGGGCAUUCCAAAAUAAUGGUUGUCAUCGUUUGAAUCUCCCUGGUUCCCCGAUAUUGUGUUAAAUCUUUAUUUGAUUUGUUUUGAAAGAGUUAGUCCAGCUCGAGACUGGCUGAGCGGGUUAUGCUGAACGGUUAAUCAGAUAAGUGUUUUCUGGCUAUGAGCCAACAAAGGUUUGUCUCAGAUCUUUAUCAGUAAAGGACAAAAGAGACAGAAAUGUUCUGAGUUCUGACCCAGUCACUAAACUUCUGAGUAAGGACGUUUUGCUUGGUGUAAAUUGUGUUUUAAUACUGCUAUAGCAAGGGUGAGCUGCCAUUUCUGUUUAACCUUUUGCUUGUUUGAUAAGCUAGGCAGAUAUAUGGUACUUCAAGGGUUAGUGAGUAGUUAGGUUUAUUCUUUAUUAUUUUGGCCUCUGGCUUACCCUGAAGCAAAAGCAGUGAUCUCAGUCUGGUAUAUAUAGAUUUCUUAGAGUUAAUUGUUAAAGCUCUGUUCCUUUCUUUUGCUGAAUAGUCUUUUCAUUUUUAAUGAUUUUGUGUUAUAAUUAGUUACGGUUGUUUGAGUUUAUUCAGUUUGAUCUUCUAUGUCCUGGAUUGAUACAUUUACAUAUUUUCUUUUACUAUGACUGUUGUUUAAAUGUUUUAUUUUUCCUUUAAGUUGCCUGAUCCGUAAACAAGUAAGAACAUCCUGAUGUGAGACUUUGUGUUUGUUUCUUGGAUUCUUGUCAUAAGCAGACUCUUUGCCAAGGUGAGAUAUCUGGCCAUAAUGGUUUGACUUACUGUUUUUACAGAAAGGUGUUUGUCUUUGUCAUAAACCUAAAAACUUCUUGUUAAAUGAGUCUUAUCAAUCACUUAUUGGGUUACAUAAACUAAUAGUGUGGGUCGUUUAAUGCAAUAUGGAACAUGAAUUGAUGAAUGAACUUUGGUAUAGUUUGCUGAUAAUUAUAUGAGUUGAUUCCAGCUUACAGAUGAUACCGAGUGGACUAUGUUGGUGAAUUUCAGGCCAUGGAACCAAGGAGUUUGGGGUCCUGUUGCAUGUGAUACCACCACAAAUGAGGCGUCAAGGUCACUCAUCUCAUCCCUCCCACUGCUGCAUACUAAUGAGAGGCCACUACAACUGACCAUCAUCAGAUGGAAUGCAUGCAGGCUCGCCAGGACGGCAGAUAAGUAAACGAUCUGCCUUCAGCUUGCAGGGCCAAUCCACCAUGUCGCUGCUGAUGAUGGGCGAUCGCACUUUGCUCUGAAACUGCCCCUCAGCAUCUGAUGGAACGAGAGGAAUAGCAGCAGUUGGGAGGAACAACGGAAUCAACAUCUGGUGUUUGAGACCCCUCCUGGGUCCGUCCACACGACGCUGUGACCUGCCUCCAACGACAUAUCCAGUACCCCAAAUCUCCUGUCUGGUUUCAUGGCUCCCUGUCCAAAAGACAUCCCCUCACCAUCUCUCAGAAUGUCUCUCUCUCUCCUGUCACACCGCAGGUUGGCUCUCUGCUCCCACCUCACGUUGCGUGAAGAUGGGCGUCCUUACGAGGACAUUUGAGCUGAAGAAGGAGAGUCUGGGUCUGUGACGACUCGUCUGUCUCAUAUCGACGAAAGGGCAACACCAUUUUAUGGAAAACAUUGUUUUAACAUCAACUUUCCCCCUCUAGCAAUUUCCUGAAAUCCAACGAAUCGACUGAGUUUGCUGGUAUCUGAUAAUUCAUAUCAACUCGGGUUAAAGUUUCUUGCAUCUGUUAUGGUUAUCUUAAUAAAGCUAGGCACACAAGAUAAAUUAGAUUUUGGUGUUUGGGUUAUUGUUAAGCUAACAUCAUCGUAUUGAUUCAUAAUUCGUGCUCAUUGAUUAUUGGGUUAGUGACAUCUUAUUCUGAUUUGUUAUAACAACAAAAAUGAACAUCAGGAGGGAUUGUUAGGUAUUUUUGAUUGUUCAUUAUUGUUGUGAAAUCUUUCCUUUGUGAAAUGGUGUUAGGAAAACCCUGACCUAUAGUUACUUGUUUACGUCUGUAUGUUCUCAGAAACUGUUUUCUGCUUUAGGCAUUUUGAUCCAUUAGGACAAGUCUAAACCAGCCAAACCAGGGAGUUUUCUGCCAGACAAAGAAACUUGUAGUUCUAGUAUCUGAAGAAUUCCUUUGUCCUGUGCCUUCUAAGACCAAAGUGUUUUCCAUUAGUUAAAAGCAAACUGGUCAGGUAGGAAAAUUAGCUCACUUCUAGAAACUUCUCUUGUGAUUGUGGAAUUUGUGGGUGUGAACAUUUUGUGAGAUAAAUCCCUCCAUGAGCUCCGGCUCCUUUGUGAGAGGAAAAUGGCUUCCGUGUUGUAUGGUCUGAUUCUCUCACCCUCUGCAGAGUGUCACACACUUUGCAGAGUUUGUUGUCUGUUUAAGGUUUGAUACAAUUUACCAAUUUAAGAAUCUAAUCCCUCUGUGUGGGUGUUCUGACUUCCUUUAAGGUAAUUUAAGUUUAAGGUAAUAAAAGAACAAUAGUAUAAAUUAAAAUACGCAACAUAAUAGUGAAUAAUGCUAAAUUAAAUUACCGAACAUAGAUUAAAUUACCUAUCAAUUGUGUCAAAGAAGACGGCAAGCCUCAGCCCUGAGCAUGUAGAUAUGCUCACCUUCCUUCACUGCAACCACAGGCUCCUUGGAUAGAUUGUAUUUCCACUCCCCAGGCAGUCUCUUGAGGACAGUUUAAAAUCCUUGUUUACAGUAGUAGGACUUGUGUGCCAAAUUACUGUCUUGCAUGUUAGUUCUGAAUAUAAAGUUGCACAUUUGAAAGACAGUGUUAACAGCACAAUUUAUUGCACUUUUUUUUGAUACUAAGAGUGAUAACUGCUUUUUUGUUAUUCAAAGAUUAUUUUUAUUUUUUUUCUGUAACUGUUUCAGGGAAUGUUAAGUUUAAAGUAAUAUUAUUUAUAUUUGUGUUUUCAUCUCAAAUGUUAAGGUGGAAGUAAUUUUAGUUCUGAUUUUUCUAAAGAAACAAUCACUAUUUUCCAUUAUACAAAUACAUUAAAAAAAUGUCAUUUAUACAUAAUAAUGUAAACAACAAA
Nothobranchius furzeri (turquoise killifish) is the source of this 5490-nucleotide long non-coding RNA. RefSeq lists it as uncharacterized. Lineage: Eukaryota; Metazoa; Chordata; Actinopteri; Cyprinodontiformes; Nothobranchiidae. The record is from RefSeq and is a predicted model, not a curated record.